This 399-nucleotide transfer-messenger RNA is filed under the name Muribaculaceae bacterium. It matches the Rfam family "transfer-messenger RNA". From Rfam's summary of the family: Bacterial tmRNA, also known as 10Sa RNA or SsrA, is named for its dual tRNA and mRNA-like properties. The record is from RNAcentral. Lineage: Bacteria; Pseudomonadati; Bacteroidota; Bacteroidia; Bacteroidales; Muribaculaceae.
GGGGUUGACUGGUUUUGACAGCGUGUAGAAGUGGUGUGUAAGCGUGCAGAGCUUUGAGGUAUAUGCUCUUUAAUAUCAGACCUUCAGCAAUUUAAAUGGCGAAAACAACUACGCUCUUGCUGCUUGAUUGAAGUACAGUAGAUCAGCUUAAUCGCCGCAACAGUUGCAGCGACAAGACAUCGCCCGAUUGUCCUUUUUCCGAGACUAAUCGAUACGGCGGUGCAGGAAUAUCGGAAAUAGGACUCCCAAAGCCUCGAAGGAGCCCGAAGUUUUAGAGGAUAAGGCCAUGGUUGGUGGUUUCAGGCCUGCCUUGGUUCGAAAAUCAACUUGAGACUACGCACGUAGAAAGCUCAUUAGUUCCGCGUUUGGACGAGGGUUCGAAUCCCUCCAGCUCCACUA